GGAAAGAUGGCUGAGCGGUCCAAGGCGCUGCGUUCAGGUGGCAGUCCAGUUCUGCGGACGUGCGUUCGGAUCCCACUCUUGUCA
Molecule: transfer RNA, 84 nt
Filed under: Trichuris suis (pig whipworm)
Lineage: Eukaryota; Metazoa; Nematoda; Enoplea; Trichinellida; Trichuridae
Description: tRNA-Leu
Rfam family: tRNA
About the family: Transfer RNA (tRNA) molecules are approximately 80 nucleotides in length. Their secondary structure includes four short double-helical elements and three loops (D, anti-codon, and T loops). Further hydrogen bonds mediate the characteristic L-shaped molecular structure. tRNAs have two regions of fundamental functional importance: the anti-codon, which is responsible for specific mRNA codon recognition, and the 3' end, to which the tRNAs corresponding amino acid is attached (by aminoacyl-tRNA synthetases). tRNAs cope with the degeneracy of the genetic code in two manners: having more than one tRNA (with a specific anti-codon) for a particular amino acid; and 'wobble' base-pairing, i.e. permitting non-standard base-pairing at the 3rd anti-codon position.
Source: RNAcentral